RNAcentral lists this ribosomal RNA (501 nucleotides) under uncultured bacterium. RNAcentral's name for it is "partial 16S ribosomal RNA". It matches the Rfam family "Bacterial small subunit ribosomal RNA", at positions 29 to 523 of the family's 1533-position model. The record is from RNAcentral.
AUUGAACGCUGGCGGCAUGCCUUACACAUGCAAGUCGAACGGCAGCACGGGUGCUUGCACCUGGUGGCGAGUGGUGACCGGGUGAGUAAUACAUCGGAACGUACCUUAUCGUGGGGGAUAACGCAGCGAAAGCUGUGCUAAUACCGCAUACGCCCUGAGGGGGAAAGCGGGGGAUCGAAAGACGUCGCGCGAGUAGAGCGGCCGAUGCCUGAUUAGCUUGUUGGUGGGGUAAAAGCCCACCAAGGCGACGAUCAGUAGCUGGUCUGGGAGGACGAUCCGCCACACUGGGACUGAGACACGGCCCAGACGCCUAGGGGAGGCAGCAGUGGGGAAUUUUGGACAAUGGGGGCAACCCUGAUCCAGCAAUGCCGCGUGAGUGAAGAAGGCCUUCGGGUCGUAAAGCUCUUUUGUCAGGGAAGAAACACCGGCUCUAACACAGUCCGGGAAUGACGGUACCUGAAGAAUAAGCACCGGCUAACUACGUGCCAGCCGCCGCCGUAA